CACCAAGGCGACGAUCCGUAACUGGUCUGAGAGGAUGAUCAGUCACACUGGAACUGAGACACGGUCCAGACUCCUACGGGAGGCAGCAGUGGGGGAAUAUUGGACAAUGGGCGAAAGCCUGAUCCAGCCAUGCCGCGUGUGUGAAGAAGGUCUUCGGAUUGUAAAGCACUUUAAGUUGGGAGGAAGGGUAGUAACCUAAUACGUUGCUACUUUGACGUUACCGACAGAAUAAGCACCGGCUAACUUCGUG
This 250-nucleotide ribosomal RNA is filed under the name uncultured bacterium. Its description in RNAcentral is "partial 16S ribosomal RNA". It matches the Rfam family "Bacterial small subunit ribosomal RNA", at positions 266 to 507 of the family's 1533-position model. The record is from RNAcentral.